Molecule: long non-coding RNA, 531 nt
Filed under: Physcomitrium patens
Lineage: Eukaryota; Viridiplantae; Streptophyta; Bryopsida; Funariales; Funariaceae
Description: long non-coding RNA (PPAT_LNC003820)
Source: RNAcentral
UUUACUUAUUCCGAAAGAAACCUCCCAGAAUAAACUCGUAUAGGAGGAUUCGAAUACGGAGAAUGACUAGUUGCUUAAGCGUUCACGUUAGGAUCACACAAUCAAUUAUCUCUUGAAUGUAUUGUCUCUAUUUCCAAUAUCUGAACACACAAAGAAACUAUAAUUUCCUCCUUCACCUUAUCGGUCUCUUCCUUACAACAAUUCAAUCAUACCAAUAACUGCUAUUUCUACCAAUAACUGCUAUUUCCACCCUCAUAAUCUCCAACUGUAAUACUAAGCCCUCACAACUUUCAGUAAACAAUUACCCUCAUUCCAAUCACUGGAAUUCUUAGUACAGAACUGCCAUUCACAUUAUGGUGUUUCACACAAACACAAACUCAUUCUCUCUGCUAAACUACAAUCAGAUUUCAGCAUUCAAUCUUUCUUCUUCUCAAAUAAUACCAAUCACAUUUCCAUUCCAUAAUUCACUUCACAAUAUUCAAAAACUCUCAAUCCUCUUAUUCAAAGAAAAUAACAAACAAAAGAAAAGAG